This 433-nucleotide ribosomal RNA is filed under the name uncultured bacterium. Its description in RNAcentral is "partial 16S ribosomal RNA". It matches the Rfam family "Bacterial small subunit ribosomal RNA", at positions 29 to 507 of the family's 1533-position model. The record is from RNAcentral.
AGCGAACGCUGGCGGCAGGCCUAACACAUGCAAGUCGAACGAACUCUUCGGAGUUAGUGGCGGACGGGUGAGUAACACGUGGGAACGUGCCUUUAGGUUCGGAAUAACUCAGGGAAACUUGUGCUAAUACCGAAUGUGCCCUUCGGGGGAAAGAUUUAUCGCCUUUAGAGCGGCCCGCGUCUGAUUAGCUAGUUGGUGAGGUAAAGGCUCACCAAGGCGACGAUCAGUAGCUGGUCUGAGAGGAUGAUCAGCCACAUUGGGACUGAGACACGGCCCAAACUCCUACGGGAGGCAGCAGUGGGGAAUCUUGCGCAAUGGGCGAAAGCCUGACGCAGCCAUGCCGCGUGAAUGAUGAAGGUCUUAGGAUUGUAAAAUUCUUUCACCGGGGACGAUAAUGACGGUACCCGGGGAAGAAGCCCCGGCUAACUUCGUG